Molecule: ribosomal RNA, 516 nt
Filed under: Eigenmannia humboldtii
Lineage: Eukaryota; Metazoa; Chordata; Actinopteri; Gymnotiformes; Sternopygidae
Description: partial 16S ribosomal RNA
Rfam family: Bacterial large subunit ribosomal RNA
Source: RNAcentral
UCCUGCCUGCCCAGUGAAUAUUUCAACGGGCGCGGUAUUUUGACCGUGCAAAGGUAGCGUAAUCACUUGUCUUUUAAAUGAAGACCUGUAUGAAUGGCAAAACGAGGGCUYARCUGUCUCCCAUUUCUAGUCAGUGAAAUUGAUCUGCCCGUGCAGAAGCGGACAUAAAACUACAAGACGAGAAGACCCUWUGGAGCUUAAGACCCAAGGCCACCUAUGUUAAUAAGUUACAUAAAUAAACUUAAACUAAAUAGUCUUUGACCCCCGUCUUCGGUUGGGGCGACCGCGGAGGAAAACAAAGCCUCCAUGUGGAAUGGGGCCACCGCCCCAAAAUUAGAUGUGACAACUCUAANUCGCAAAACAUUUGACCAAAUAGAUCCGGCCUACAGGCCGACCAACGAACCAAGUUACCCUAGGGGUAACAGGGCAAUCCCCUCCCAGAGUCCCUAUCGACAAGGGGGUUUACGACCNCGAUGUUGGGUCAAGACAUCCUAAUGGUGAAGCCGCUAUUAAGGG